RNAcentral lists this ribosomal RNA (195 nucleotides) under uncultured bacterium. RNAcentral describes it as "partial 16S ribosomal RNA". It matches the Rfam family "Bacterial small subunit ribosomal RNA", at positions 326 to 539 of the family's 1533-position model. The record is from RNAcentral.
ACGCUCGACACCUACGGCAGCAGUGGGGAAUAUUGGGCAAUGGGCGCAAGCCUGACCCAGCAACGCCGCGUGAAGGAAGAAGGCUUUCGGGUUGUAAACUUCUUUUGUCAGGGACGAAGACGUGACGGUACCUGACGAAUAAGCUCCGGCUAACUACGUCGCACAGCCGCGGUAAUCUGAGCGGGCUGGCAAGGC